Long non-coding RNA from Lytechinus pictus (painted urchin), 164 nucleotides. RefSeq lists it as uncharacterized. The record is from RefSeq and is a predicted model, not a curated record. The transcript has 2 exons. Lineage: Eukaryota; Metazoa; Echinodermata; Echinoidea; Temnopleuroida; Toxopneustidae.
UUAAAGGUAUUUGACAUGACAUUCGUGUAGCGGGUGAGGCUCUCACCAGAGGAAAUAUGGUCCUCUAGGCCAGAUUGCCAGGGUUUUAUUUUUUCUAUCUUGUGUUCUUGUACUUUGAAUUUUGUAUGUAACGAUCCAUCGAUAUUAAACGAACCGAAACACAA